GACGAACGCUGGCGGCGUGCCUAAUACAUGCAAGUAGAACGCACAGUUUAUACCGUAGCUUGCUACACCAUAAACUGUGAGUUGCGAACGGGUGAGUAACGCGUAGGUAACCUGCCUGGUAGCGGGGGAUAACUAUUGGAAACGAUAGCUAAUACCGCAUAAUAUUGAUUAUUGCAUGAUAAUUGAUUGAAAGAUGCUAUUGCAUCACUACCAGAUGGACCUGCGUUGUAUUAGCUAGUAGGUGAGGUAACGGCUCACCUAGGCGACGAUACAUAGCCGACCUGAGAGGGUGAUCGGCCACACUGGGACUGAGACACGGCCCAGACUCCUACGGGAGGCAGCAGUAGGGAAUCUUCGGCAAUGGACGAAAGUCUGACCGAGCAACGCCGCGUGAGUGAAGAAGGUUUUCGGAUCGUAAAGCUCUGUUGUAAGAGAAGAACGGGUGUGAGAGUGGAAAGUUCACACUGUGGCGGUAUCUUACCAGAAAGGGACGGCUAACUACGUG
RNAcentral lists this ribosomal RNA (505 nucleotides) under uncultured bacterium. RNAcentral's name for it is "partial 16S ribosomal RNA". It matches the Rfam family "Bacterial small subunit ribosomal RNA", at positions 28 to 507 of the family's 1533-position model. The record is from RNAcentral.